RNAcentral lists this ribosomal RNA (425 nucleotides) under uncultured bacterium. Its description in RNAcentral is "partial 16S ribosomal RNA". It matches the Rfam family "Bacterial small subunit ribosomal RNA", at positions 354 to 796 of the family's 1533-position model. The record is from RNAcentral.
GUGGGGAAUCUUGCGCAAUGGGCGAAAGCCUGACGCAGCCAUGCCGCGUGAAUGAUGAAGGUCUUAGGAUUGUAAAAUUCUUUCACCGGGGACGAUAAUGACGGUACCCGGAGAAGAAGCCCCGGCUAACUUCGUGCCAGCAGCCGCGGUAAUACGAAGGGGGCUAGCGUUGCUCGGAAUUACUGGGCGUAAAGGGCGCGUAGGCGGACAGUUUAGUCAGAGGUGAAAGCCCAGGGCUCAACCUUGGAAUUGCCUUUGAUACUGGCUGUCUUGAGUACGGGAGAGGUGAGUGGAACUCCGAGUGUAGAGGUGAAAUUCGUAGAUAUUCGGAAGAACACCAGUGGCGAAGGCGACUCGCUGGCCCGUUACUGACGCUGAGGCACGAAAGCGUGGGGGGCAAACAGGAUUAGAUACCCUGGUAGUCC